AGUGGGGAAUAUUGCGCAAUGGGGGAAACCCUGACGCAGCGACGCCGCGUGCGGGAUGAAGGCCUUCGGGUUGUAAACCGCUUUUGAUUGGGAGCAAGCCUUCGGGUGAGUGUACCUUUCGAAUAAGCGCCGGCUAACUACGUGCCAGCAGCCGCGGUAAUACGUAGGGCGCAAGCGUUAUCCGGAAUUAUUGGGCGUAAAGAGCUUGUAGGCGGUUCGUCGCGUCUGGUGUGAAAGCCCAUCGCUUAACGGUGGGUCUGCGCCGGGUACGGGCGGGCUAGAGUGCAGUAGGGGAGACUGGAAUUCCCGGUGUAACGGUGGAAUGUGUAGAUAUCGGGAAGAACACCAAUGGCGAAGGCAGGUCUCUGGGCUGUUACUGACGCUGAGAAGCGAAAGCGUGGGGAGCGAA
This 409-nucleotide ribosomal RNA is filed under the name uncultured Gardnerella sp. Its description in RNAcentral is "bacterial SSU rRNA". It matches the Rfam family "Bacterial small subunit ribosomal RNA", at positions 353 to 772 of the family's 1533-position model. Lineage: Bacteria; Bacillati; Actinomycetota; Actinomycetes; Bifidobacteriales; Bifidobacteriaceae. The record is from RNAcentral.